UUARAUAACMAAACCAACUCGGUCUUCGGGCCGAACUGGUGAUGAAUCAUAKUAAUCUCACGAAKCGCAUGGCCUUGUGCCGGCGAURGGUCAUUCAAAUUUCUGCCCUAUCAGUUUUCRAUGGYAGUGUAGUGGACUACCAUGGCUUUAACGGGUGACGGAGAAUUAGGGUUCGAUUCCRGAGAGGGAGCCUGAGAAACGGCURCCACAUCCAAGGAAGGCAGCMGGCGCGCRAAUUACCCAAUCCUGACACAGGGAGGYAGUGACAAUAAAUAACAAUACCGGGCUUUUUAAGUCUGGKAAUUGGAAUGAGUACAAUUUAAAUCCCUUAACGAGGAUCCAUUGGAGGGCAAGUCWGGUGCCAGCAGCCGCGGUAAUACCAGCUCCAAUAGCGUAUAUUAAAGUUGUUGCAGUUAAAAAGCUCGUAGUUGGAUUUCUGGCCGUGACAGCCUGGUCUGUUCGCCUGCCUUCGGGCGGUUGCGGACGUGUGCCGGUGCAGUUCGGCCAUCCUGCCGGAGAAUGCCCCUUCCCUUCACUGGRUUUGGGGGCGGGAUCUGGCUCUUUUACUUUGAGAAA
This 576-nucleotide ribosomal RNA is filed under the name uncultured eukaryote. RNAcentral's name for it is "partial 18S ribosomal RNA". It matches the Rfam family "Eukaryotic small subunit ribosomal RNA", at positions 212 to 775 of the family's 1831-position model. The record is from RNAcentral.